UGCAUCUGGGGCCUGUGAGGAUGAGAACCUCCGGGGGCAGGAGGUUCGACUCGAGCGAAGCGAGAGAACGUUGCGUUCAGCAACGGCCCGCAGGGCGAGCCACGAAGUGGUGAGUCAUCCUCUAUCACCGACCA
This 134-nucleotide small RNA is filed under the name Klebsiella pneumoniae. RNAcentral describes it as "RtT sRNA". It matches the Rfam family "RtT RNA". From Rfam's summary of the family: This family represents a bacterial cis-regulatory element known as RtT RNA. The exact function of RtT is unknown although it is thought that it may be involved in changing the cellular response in relation to amino acid starvation. Lineage: Bacteria; Pseudomonadati; Pseudomonadota; Gammaproteobacteria; Enterobacterales; Enterobacteriaceae. The record is from RNAcentral.